This 253-nucleotide ribosomal RNA is filed under the name uncultured bacterium. RNAcentral's name for it is "partial 16S ribosomal RNA". It matches the Rfam family "Bacterial small subunit ribosomal RNA", at positions 524 to 776 of the family's 1533-position model. The record is from RNAcentral.
UACAGAGGUGGCAAGCGUUGUUCGGAAUUACUGGGCGUAAAGGGCGCGUAGGCGGCCUUCUAAGUCAGACGUGAAAUCCCCAGGCUUAACUUGGGAACUGCGUCUGAUACUGGGAGGCUUGAGUGCGGGAGAGGGAUGUGGAAUUCCAGGUGUAGCGGUGAAAUGCGUAGAUAUCUGGAGGAACACCUGCGGCGAAGGCGGGUUGCUGGGCCGACACUGACGCUGAUGCGCGAAAGCCAGGGGAGCGAACGGG